AAAACUUUCAACAACGGAUCUCUUGGUUCUGUCAUCGAUGAAGAACGCAGCGAAAUGCGAUAAGUAAUGUGAAUUGCAGAAUUCAGUGAAUCAUCGAAUCUUUGAACGCACAUUGCGCCCGCCAGUAUUCUGGCGGGCAUGCCUGUCCGAGCGUCAUUUCAA
Molecule: ribosomal RNA, 162 nt
Filed under: uncultured Trichoderma
Lineage: Eukaryota; Fungi; Ascomycota; Sordariomycetes; Hypocreales; Hypocreaceae
Description: 5.8S ribosomal RNA
Rfam family: 5.8S ribosomal RNA
About the family: 5.8S ribosomal RNA (5.8S rRNA) is a component of the large subunit of the eukaryotic ribosome. It is transcribed by RNA polymerase I as part of the 45S precursor that also contains 18S and 28S rRNA. Functionally, it is thought that 5.8S rRNA may be involved in ribosome translocation.
Source: RNAcentral